UGCCGCGUGCAGGAUGAAGGCCUUCGGGUUGUAAACUGCUUUUGUACGGAACGAAACGGCCUUUUCUAAUAAAGAGGGCUAAUGACGGUACCGUAAGAAUAACCACCGGCUAACUACGUGCCAGCAGCCGCGGUAAUACUUAUGGUGCAAGCGUUAAUCGGAAUUACUGGGCGUAAAGCGUGCGCAGGCGGUUAUGUAAGACAGUUGUGAAAUCCCCGGGCUCAACCUGGGAACUGCAUCUGUGACUGCAUAGCUAGAGUACGGUAGAGGGGGAUGGAAUUCCGCGUGUAGCAUUGAAAUGCGUACAUCUGCGGAGGAACACCGAUGGCGAAGGCAAUCCCCUGGACCUGUACUGACGCUCAUGCACGAAAGCGUGGGGAGCAAACAGGAUUAGAUACCCUGGUAGUCCACGCCCUAAACGAUGUCAACUGGUUGUUGGGUCUUCACUGACUCUUAACGAAGCUAACGCGUGAAGUUGACCGCCUGGGGAGUACGGCCGCAAGGUUGAAACUCCAGGAAUUGACGGGGACCCGCACAAGCGGUGGAUGAUGUGGUUUAAUUCGAUGCAACGCGCAAAACCUUACCCACCUUUGACAUGUACGGAAUUCGCCAGAUAUGG
RNAcentral lists this ribosomal RNA (619 nucleotides) under Variovorax sp. So3Pt_210. RNAcentral's name for it is "bacterial SSU rRNA". It matches the Rfam family "Bacterial small subunit ribosomal RNA", at positions 395 to 1009 of the family's 1533-position model. Lineage: Bacteria; Pseudomonadati; Pseudomonadota; Betaproteobacteria; Burkholderiales; Comamonadaceae. The record is from RNAcentral.